Molecule: long non-coding RNA, 830 nt
Filed under: Cricetulus griseus (Chinese hamster)
Lineage: Eukaryota; Metazoa; Chordata; Mammalia; Rodentia; Cricetidae
Description: lncRNA (ENSCGRG00000024864.1)
Source: RNAcentral
GCAAGAUCCAGGAUUGUGUGAACAGAGCAUUGAGCACAGUACUCCUUGCCUGUAGCCACAUUGAUAUCUUCACUCUUUAGUAGAUGCUUGCUGAAUACCUGCUGCACGCCAAGUGUGCAGCCAGGCCCUGGGGUCCAGCAGGCCGUGAGAUGGAGACAGGCCCCAAUGGACAACCAAUGUGUGGUUCCGCCAAAGCUUUACUUAGCGACCAGUGAGUUCGACUGAAUGUGUGACCCUAUAAGAGUUACAACUCCGAGGGGAAAGUCUUCCAAAGUGGAAGUAUUGCAGCUCUGAAGGGAAAAGUGUCCUGGCAAUUGGGAGCCAAGGAAUACCACAUGGUCACACCAUACAACAAACCUCAUCCAAGAGAUUUAUUGGGAAAGACACAGAGGUGGCUGUCUCCACUUGGGUAAGAAGCAACAGAGAACUGAGUGGGAGACAGACUUAUAUUGGGUUUCUUGGGGGUGGAGUUUUCUAAGGUGGGAUUUCAAUUCUUGAGCUUGAGGUGAGCUCAGGGAUUGGUGGGAUUUCGAGCUCAGGAAUUGAUUGAUUUUCAAAACCUGGAAGUGAGCUCAGACUUUUUGCCCCACAGACCCCAAAGCAGCUUCACUAGGAAGUCCCACCCAGAAUGGGAUGAUGGCUUCUUAAUAGCUGUGUAGAUGGAGCUAUCUGUCUCCCGCUUUCCUCUAGUUAAUCUUCCCUAGCCUGUGCAUUCUAGCACCUCCAGGGGCUGUGUGCAAUUAGGGUAGAAUUGCAUCCAAAUGGCUGGGAGGCCUCUGGAAUCCUAGGUGAGGGUCCAGUGAAGCUCUGCACCCUUUCCUACUCUAAGG